UACGAAGGGGGCUAGCGUUGUUCGGAAUUACUGGGCGUAAAGCGCACGUGGGCGGACCAUUUAGUCAGUGGUGAAAUCCCGGGGCUCAACCCCGGAACUGCCUUUGAUACUGAUGGUCUUGAGGUCGAGAGAGGUGAGUGGAAUUGCGAGUGUAGAGGUGAAAUUCGUAGAUAUUCGCAGGAACACCAGUGGCGAAGGCGGCUCACUGGCUCGAUACUGACGCUGAGGUGCGAAAGCGUGGGUAGCAAACAGG
RNAcentral lists this unclassified non-coding RNA (253 nucleotides) under uncultured Alphaproteobacteria bacterium. Its description in RNAcentral is "contains 16S-23S intergenic spacer region". It matches the Rfam family "Bacterial small subunit ribosomal RNA", at positions 524 to 776 of the family's 1533-position model. Lineage: Bacteria; Pseudomonadati; Pseudomonadota; Alphaproteobacteria. The record is from RNAcentral.